Molecule: ribosomal RNA, 250 nt
Filed under: uncultured eukaryote
Lineage: Eukaryota
Description: partial large subunit ribosomal RNA
Rfam family: Bacterial large subunit ribosomal RNA
Source: RNAcentral
UAUCCGGUUAGGGGACAGUUUCAGGUGGUCAGUUUGACUGGGGCGGUCGCCUCCCAAAAGGUAACGGAGGCGUGCAAAGGUUUCCUCAGGCUGGUCGGAAAUCAGUCGUAGAGUGUAAAGGCAUAAGGAAGCUUGAUUGUGAGACCUACAAGUCGAACAAAGACGAAAGUCGGCCUUAGUGAUCCGACGGUUCCGAGUGGAAGGGCCGUCGCUCAACGGAUAAAAGUUACUCUAGGGAUAACAGGCUGAA